UUCCCCUAGUAACGGCGAGCGAACAGGGAAGAGCUCAAAUUUGUAAUCUGGCGUCCUUCGGGCGUCCGAGUUGUAAUCUAUAGAAGUGUUUUCCGUGCUGGACCAUGUCCAAGUCCCUUGGAACAGGGCAUCAGAGAGGGUGAUAAUCCCGUCCUUGACAUGACAACCAGUGCUCUGUGAUACACUUUCUACGAGUCGAGUUGUUUGGGAAUGCAGCUCAAAAUGGGUGGUGAGUUCCAUCUAAAGCUAAAUAUUGGCGAGAGACCGAUAGCGAACAAGUACCGUGAGGGAAAGAUGAAAAGCACUUUGGAAAGAGAGUUAAACAGUACGUGAAAUUGUUAAAAGGGAAACGAUUGAAGUCAGUCGUGUCCCUGGGGUUCAGCCAGUUCUGCUGGUGUAUUCCCCUUGGACGGGUCAACAUCAGUUUGGACCGGCGGAAAAUGGCGGGAGGAAUGUAGCCGCUCCGGUUGUGUUAUAGCCUCUUGUCGUAUACGUUGGUCUGGACUGAGGAAUGCAGCUUGCCUUUAUGGCCGGGGUUCGCCCACGUUCGAGCUUAGGAUGUUGACAUAAUGGCUUUAAACGACCCGUCUUGAAACACGGACCAAGGAGUCUAACAUAUCUGCGAGUGUUUGGGUGUCAAACCCGGACGCGUAAUGAAAGUGAACGUAGGAGGGAUCCGUGAGGAGCACCUUCGACCGAUCUGGAUCUUUUGUGAUGGAUUUGAGUAAGAGCAUAUAUGCUGGGACCCGAAAGAUGGUGAACUAUGCCUGAAUAGGGCGAAGCCAGGGGAAACUCUGGUGGAGGCUCGUAGCGAUUCUGACGUGCAAAUCGAUCGUCAAAUUUGGGUAUAGGGGCGAAAGACUAAUCGAACCAUUGUAAUGCUACUCGG
This 889-nucleotide ribosomal RNA is filed under the name Sterigmatosporidium polymorphum. RNAcentral describes it as "LSU rRNA". It matches the Rfam family "Eukaryotic large subunit ribosomal RNA", at positions 75 to 954 of the family's 3401-position model. Lineage: Eukaryota; Fungi; Basidiomycota; Tremellomycetes; Tremellales; Cuniculitremaceae. The record is from RNAcentral.